RNAcentral lists this long non-coding RNA (435 nucleotides) under Brassica napus (rape). RNAcentral's name for it is "long non-coding RNA (BNAP_LNC013468)". Lineage: Eukaryota; Viridiplantae; Streptophyta; Magnoliopsida; Brassicales; Brassicaceae. The record is from RNAcentral.
GACCACGAGCUGUUUAAUGCGCUCCUUGAAGGCUUCCUCAUCUUUGUCUUUCUUGAUUGUAAUCCCAGAAUCUGACGGAGCCUCCGCUAGAGCAUCCUUCAACCCAAGAAUCGACAGAUGAGCUAAUAUCCUUUUCUUCCACAUCGAGAAAUCGCCUUGCCCGUCGAAACAUGCAAUCUUGACUUUCGCCAUCGAUUCUUUCAUCGGUUACCGUAACCUGGUGCUCUGAUACCACUUUGUUGUGAAUCGAUCUCUCUCACUUGUAGCUAGAUCCUAAGACUACUUCUUCUCUCUCGUUUCACUCUCUAUUGACCUCACACACUCUCGAUUUCUCUUGUGUGUUUAUGAAAUAGAAAAGAACAAAAGAAGACACAACGAGAUUUGUUUACCCUGUUCGGGAUUCGAUGUGAAUCCGUACGUAUGGGGCUUGACGGC